This 72-nucleotide transfer RNA is filed under the name Bos taurus (domestic cattle). It matches the Rfam family "tRNA". Rfam says of the family: Transfer RNA (tRNA) molecules are approximately 80 nucleotides in length. Their secondary structure includes four short double-helical elements and three loops (D, anti-codon, and T loops). Further hydrogen bonds mediate the characteristic L-shaped molecular structure. tRNAs have two regions of fundamental functional importance: the anti-codon, which is responsible for specific mRNA codon recognition, and the 3' end, to which the tRNAs corresponding amino acid is attached (by aminoacyl-tRNA synthetases). tRNAs cope with the degeneracy of the genetic code in two manners: having more than one tRNA (with a specific anti-codon) for a particular amino acid; and 'wobble' base-pairing, i.e. permitting non-standard base-pairing at the 3rd anti-codon position. The record is from Rfam by way of RNAcentral. RNAcentral also lists the same sequence under 9 other names. Lineage: Eukaryota; Metazoa; Chordata; Mammalia; Artiodactyla; Bovidae.
UCCCUGACAGCUCAGUUGGUAAAGAAUCUGCCUGCAAUGCAGGAGACCCUGGUUCAAUUCCUGGGUUGGGAA